RNAcentral lists this ribosomal RNA (1200 nucleotides) under Triticum aestivum (bread wheat). RNAcentral describes it as "partial small subunit ribosomal RNA". The record is from RNAcentral. Lineage: Eukaryota; Viridiplantae; Streptophyta; Magnoliopsida; Poales; Poaceae.
AUGCACCCAAGACCUCGUUUUCUGCCGGAUUUGAUAAAAAUUUCAACCGACGAACCCACCCCGAACCCAGGAUCCCGAGGGGCAGCUAGGGGAGGAGAGAGACUAUUUACAUGUCAUUUGGCCCACCGUCAGCCUCUCACUCCCUCUCUCCUCACUUUUCCUCCGGGGUCCACCCACGUGCUCCUCUCUCUUCUCUUCUCCUCCCCCACCAACUCCACGCCCAACGCCUCGCCCGCCACGCUGCCGCCCUCACCUCACUGCGCACAGGUCCGGGGCAGCCAUUGGCAGCCAGCUAGCCAUUGGCAGCCAACCACAACGCAACACCAAGGAGAAGCAGCACGUGGAGGAGGGGGACGACAGGAUGAAGGAGCUCCGGGGCCGGUUGGCGGACUACGCGCGCCACCACCAAAGGCACGGCCACGACACGCUCCUCCUCAUGCUCGCCGGGUUCGCCUUCGUCUCCUGCCUGCUGCUGCUCCUCCCCAAGAGCCUCUUCUCCGCCGCCAUGGACGACCUCCUGCAGCUGGGCCGGAAGCGUCGGUGCGACCAGGAGAUGGCGCCCACGUUGCCCGCGCCUCGCCCCGCGCCGACCUCUGCGCGGGACGUCCGCACCCACGCCGCCUCCAACUCGCUCUUCCUGCUCGCCGCUGCCGCCCUGGCCGACGAGCGCAUCCGGCCAUACAUCCGGUGGGCACCGGUGCGGCACCAACACGGGCGAGCUCGCGGUGCGUGGGCGUGGCGCAGGCACGAGCCCGCCCGAACGGGUCUGCCGACGGGGACGACGCCGGCGCCCCAGAUGAUGUCGGCCUCGUCGAGCUCCAGGGCCGGGUCGGCCGCGUGCUGCAGGGGGCGCGCCGGCGCCGGCGCGAAGAGCCGGUGCGCGGGAGACCAUGGAAGGGUUGCUGCUCCGGCGGCAGGGACCGAGCUCGAAGAGGUCGCCGACGAGGCCUGAGCAGCACGGGCCGCCCUGGAGCCAGAGGAGCAGCGGCGUGUCGGCCGGCGUCGCCUCCUUCCCCGUCGGCUCGAGGGACCGGGUACGGGGCGAGGGAGCGGGGCACGGGGGCGGCUCGACGUCGGCCUCCGGCUGCUAGAUGUCUCCUCGAGCUUCUCAUCGCCUCCUUCCCCGUCGACGCUCGCGCUCCUCCGCUAGGCGCGCGCCGAGGAGGUCGUCGACGCCGCCGCGGGCAAGAUGCUCGAUGA